UACAUAGGGUGCAAGCGUUGUCCGGAUUUAUUGGGCGUAAAGAGUUCGUAGGCGGCACAGUAAGUCAGAAGUAAAAACGCAGGGCUCAACCCUGCGUCGCUUUUGAUACUGCUGAGCUUGAGUAUGGCAGGGGAAGACGGAAUUCCACGUGUAGCGGUGAAAUGCGCAGAUAUGUGGAGGAACACCAACGGCGAAGGCAGUCUUCUGGGCCAUUACUGACGCUGAGGAACGAAAGCGUGGGGAGCGAACAGG
Molecule: ribosomal RNA, 252 nt
Filed under: uncultured bacterium
Lineage: Bacteria
Description: partial 16S ribosomal RNA
Rfam family: Bacterial small subunit ribosomal RNA
Source: RNAcentral